GUUAAGAUUGUAAAUAAAAACAAAAAAGUCUUUGUAGAUUACUUAUUUGUAGCAUUACUUUUUUGUAGCAGGUCGAUGUAAAUGUUUGUCUGUAGAAAAUAAGUUUAUCGAAUCAUCGGUGAAGUUUUCUCAUUUUUACUCCAGAAAUAUUGAUGAAAAAAAUACUAAUCAAGUCGGAUGCCUAAUAACUAUGUUUUCAAGAGCAACCAGAUAUCAUGGACGUAUCAGCAGAGCCGUUUUUAAAAUGUAAUCGAAAUGUCGGAAACUUGAGUUUUCAGUUAGUGUCCAUCUUUCCCACCCCAGGUGUCAGUCUUUCCCGUCAAGUGCCGUCUUUCCCGACUCAUUCUUAUUUUUUAUAAGAUGCCAGACACAUUGAUUUUGCAAAAUUUCGGCCUCAAGAACAAAUUUUAUUAUAAAAAGAGACAAUUUGUGGGGAGAUAGCUAUAUAUGUCUUGUGUGUCAUAUAUGAUCGAGUCCGUCUGUAGUUGCAAACGUUGAGCCCUGCACCAUUAUUGCUACGCUUUCAGUCAGCUCCCAUCAAGUGAGCGAGAGAACACUUUACGGAAGGAGCUUGCACAAAAUCAGUGUCGGUCCCAGCUCCCAGAGAUAUUUAUUUGAUACAAAUUUGACAAUCGGAGAUUCUACUAAAUGUAGUCACAUUUUUUACACAUCCGAAUACCAACCAUAACUUUGUUUAUUUGCUUACUUUAUAACCAUCGGUCCCAGUCGGGGCUCUGGCAACCCUAUCCCAACCAAUACAAAUUGAGCGUAGGCAAAAUAAAGCAGGACUCGCGCUCAGGGGGCUCACGGAUUGUUUACUG
Toxorhynchites rutilus septentrionalis is the source of this 821-nucleotide long non-coding RNA. RefSeq lists it as uncharacterized. The record is from RefSeq and is a predicted model, not a curated record. Lineage: Eukaryota; Metazoa; Arthropoda; Insecta; Diptera; Culicidae. The transcript is spliced from 3 exons.